GAUUUAAUGCGGCCAUAGUCGGUCACAAGCCCGAUUGAGAAACGCAGAGUGAGUC
This 55-nucleotide non-coding RNA is filed under the name unclassified sequences. The record is from RNAcentral.